This 497-nucleotide ribosomal RNA is filed under the name uncultured bacterium. RNAcentral describes it as "partial 16S ribosomal RNA". It matches the Rfam family "Bacterial small subunit ribosomal RNA", at positions 28 to 507 of the family's 1533-position model. The record is from RNAcentral.
GAUGAACGCUGGCGGCGUGCCUAAUACAUGCCAGUCGAGCGAACAGACGAGGAGCUUGCUCCUCUGACGUUAGCGGCGGACGGGUGAGUAACACGUGGAUAACCUACCUAUAAGACUGGGAUAACUUCGGGAAACCGGAGCUAAUACCGGAUAAUAUAUUGAACCGCAUGGUUAAAUAGUGAAAGACGGUUUUGCUGUCACUUAUAGAUGGAUCCGCGCCGCAUUAGCUAGUUGGUAAGGUAACGGCUUACCAAGGCGACGAUGCGUAGCCGAACUGAGAGGGUGAUCGGCCACACUGGAACUGAGACACGGUCCAGACUCCUACGGGAGGCAGCAGUAGGGAAUCUUCCGCAAUGGGCGAAAGCCUGACGGAGCAACGCCGCGUGAGUGAUGAAGGUCUUCGGAUCGUAAAACUCUGUUAUUAGGGAAGAACAAAUGUGUAAGUAACUAUGCACGUCUUGACGGUACCUAAUCAGAAAGCCACGGCUAACUACGUG